Molecule: RNA transcript, 1216 nt
Organism: Capsella rubella
Lineage: Eukaryota; Viridiplantae; Streptophyta; Magnoliopsida; Brassicales; Brassicaceae
Gene name: ABC transporter I family member 11, chloroplastic
Exons: 12
Source: RefSeq, a predicted model, not a curated record
UUAUUUUCCGCCAAUGUUCUCCGAUCAUCAUCAUUUUUCUUUUUUCCAGUACACUUUUUAAUGGGAAUUUGAAAAUUUCGGGGGAUUUCGAAAUUUGGUUUCUCUUAGAUUUCAACUUCCUUAGUUCGAGAAAUUGACAAAGGCUCAUACAGCUGACUAUGGCAGUGUCGGCGUUUUUGAGCCCAGCAUCUAUCUCCGCCAUCGCUGAACCACCAACAUCAUUUUAUUCCGUCGCAAUUGGCCGGAAGCAACCAUUGAAAAUUCGGAGGACUAAGAAGCCUCGGGUAGUCUCUUGCGAUUAUUCUUGCAUCGAGGUUAGGGAUGUUUGCUACCGUCCUCCUGGAACACAAUUAAAUAUCUUGAAUGGAGUUAAUUUUUCUCUGCGCGAGAAAAGCUUUGGCUUGAUUUUUGGGAAGAGUGGGAGCGGUAAAACCACCCUUUUGCAGCUUCUUGCUGGACUAAACAAACCAACAUCAGGUUCCAUUUGUAUCCAAAGAUAUGGGGAGGAUGGCCAUCCAAAGGCGGAUUCAGAGUUGCUGCCCACUGAAAAGGUGGGCAUUGUUUUCCAGUUUCCAGAGAGAUUCUUUGUAGCAGAUAAUGUGCUUGAUGAAAUUACUUUUGGUUGGCCAAGGCAAAAAGGUAGUUUGGAGUUAAAGGAGCAUCUGACUUCGAAUCUCCAGAGAGCAUUUCAUUGGGUUGGGUUAGACAGCAUUCCACUUGAUAAAGAUCCCCAGUUACUAAGUGGAGGCUACAAGCGUCGGCUUGCACUAGCUAUUCAGUUGGUCCAAACUCCAGAUUUACUGAUACUGGAUGAGCCCCUCGCUGGUCUUGAUUGGAAAGCACGUGCAGAUGUUGCAAAGCUCUUGAAGCAACUUAAGAAGCAACUGACUCUACUUGUUGUAAGUCAUGACCUAAGAGAGUUAACAGCCUUGGUCGACCAGUCAUGGAGAAUGGAAACAGGUGGUGUUCUUCUUGCAGAACGUCCCCCACUUUAGUCAAUGGUCACUACUGCCGAAAGGUCCAUACCAGGUACUUUAUGGUGGAUUGUCUUUUUUUUUUACUUCAGUUAUGGUGGAUUGUCUAUCUCCAGCACGAAGUCUGCAAAGCAAUUAUGGAUUAUUAGUUGGUUCGGCCAGAACCAGAAGACUUGUGCAUGCCUAAAUGUCAAUGUAUCAAAAAAUUUGUUGUCCAAAUUCCAAUGGCCAUCCUAAUUUUU